AUAAAGAUGUUUUAAUUUAAUAAAAAGAUUUACAACCUUUCUUUUUAGGUUUUUGUUCCAGAAUAGAAAUUGUUGUUUGUUUUCUAAUUUUUCAGAACAAUUUUAGUAAUAAAAACAACUUUUUACUGAAGUAAAAAUUACUCUUGAUUAAAAACCAUUUUAUUGAGUUGCCUCAAGACAAUUUACCGGUCUUGUCAAGAGCACCACAAAAAAGCCUUUAAUUAGAAAGUUCACGCCUCCUUCUUUAGCAAUGUGGCGAAAUAUGCACAGAGCUUGCUUCAAACCCUGGAUAUUUUGCUUCUAAAGCAAGCGCUCAAACCACUGCGCAAAAGCCGCACUUUUACUCGUUAAAAAAAAAUAUAUCAAAACACGUUAA
Molecule: long non-coding RNA, 376 nt
Organism: Hydra vulgaris (swiftwater hydra)
Lineage: Eukaryota; Metazoa; Cnidaria; Hydrozoa; Anthoathecata; Hydridae
Source: RefSeq, a predicted model, not a curated record